GGGAGCUUGCUCCCGGAUGUUAGCGGCGGACGGGUGAGUAACACGUGGGUAACCUGCCUGUAAGACUGGGAUAACUCCGGGAAACCGGAGCUAAUACCGGAUAGUUCCUUGAACCGCAUGGUUCAAGGAUGAAAGACGGUUUCGGCUGUCACUUACAGAUGGACCCGCGGCGCAUUAGCUAGUUGGUGGGGUAAUGGCUCACCAAGGCGACGAUGCGUAGCCGACCUGAGAGGGUGAUCGGCCACACUGGGACUGAGACACGGCCCAGACUCCUACGGGAGGCAGCAGUAGGGAAUCUUCCGCAAUGGACGAAAGUCUGACGGAGCAACGCCGCGUGAGUGAUGAAGGUUUUCGGAUCGUAAAGCUCUGUUGUUAGGGAAGAACAAGUGCGAGAGUAACUGCUCGCACCUUGACGGUACCUAACCAGAAAGCCACGGCUAACUACGUGCCAGCAGCCGCGGUAAUACGUAGGUGGCAAGCGUUGUCCGGAAUUAUUGGGCGUAAAGGGCUCGCAGGCGGUUUCUUAAGUCUGAUGUGAAAGCCCCCGGCUCAACCGGGGAGGGUCAUUGGAAACUGGGAAACUUGAGUGCAGAAGAGGAGAGUGGAAUUCCACGUGUAGCGGUGAAAUGCGUAGAGAUGUGGAGGAACACCAGUGGCGAAGGCGACUCUCUGGUCUGUAACUGACGCUGAGGAGCGAAAGCGUGGGGAGCGAACAGGAUUAGAUACCCUGGUAGUCCACGCCGUAAACGAUGAGUGCUAAGUGUUAGGGGGUUUCCGCCCCUUAGUGCUGCAGCUAACGCAUUAAGCACUCCGCCUGGGGAGUACGGUCGCAAGACUGAAACUCAAAGGAAUUGACGGGGGCCCGCACAAG
RNAcentral lists this ribosomal RNA (871 nucleotides) under Bacillus sp. (in: firmicutes). Its description in RNAcentral is "bacterial SSU rRNA". It matches the Rfam family "Bacterial small subunit ribosomal RNA", at positions 74 to 929 of the family's 1533-position model. Lineage: Bacteria; Bacillati; Bacillota; Bacilli; Caryophanales; Bacillaceae. The record is from RNAcentral.